Molecule: small nuclear RNA, 293 nt
Filed under: Mus spicilegus (steppe mouse)
Lineage: Eukaryota; Metazoa; Chordata; Mammalia; Rodentia; Muridae
Description: 7SK RNA (ENSMSIG00000026584.1)
Rfam family: 7SK RNA
About the family: 7SK was discovered as an abundant small nuclear RNA in the mid-70s but a possible function has only recently been suggested. Two independent studies have found that 7SK RNA binds the CDK9/cyclin T complex (known as elongation factor P-TEFb).
Source: RNAcentral
AGAUGCAAGGGCAAUAUGUCUGUGACAUCUAUCACUCCACUGGUUGCCAGAAUUGAUUCUGCUAAUCUGUCAAGCUAUGUGAAUGUGCCAUUCCUUCCUCAAAUUUUUGUGUGAGUUGCUCUCAAAGCUUUGUGUUCUGGACAGAGGAGGGUUCAUCUUUAGUUGAGUAUAUGAUAGUUGCAUUCUCCAGCUAGAACUUACAGAAAAGCAUAUAGUUUAUUCCUAACCAAUUAGUUGAUACACACACACACACAAACACACACACACACUUGUGUUGUCUGACUGAACUACAA